Molecule: ribosomal RNA, 253 nt
Filed under: uncultured bacterium
Lineage: Bacteria
Description: partial 16S ribosomal RNA
Rfam family: Bacterial small subunit ribosomal RNA
Source: RNAcentral
UACGUAUGGUGCAAGCGUUAUCCGGGUUUACUGGGUGUAAAGGGCGUGUAGGCGGGAAUGCAAGUCAGAUGUGAAAACUAUGGGCUCAACCCAUAGCCUGCAUUUGAAACUGUAUUUCUUGAGUGUUGGAGAGGCAAUCGGAAUUCCGUGUGUAGCGGUGAAAUGCGUAGAUAUACGGAGGAACACCAGUGGCGAAGGCGGAUUGCUGGACAGUAACUGACGCUGAGGCGCGAAAGCGUGGGGAGCAAACAGG